This 377-nucleotide ribosomal RNA is filed under the name uncultured bacterium. RNAcentral's name for it is "bacterial SSU rRNA". It matches the Rfam family "Bacterial small subunit ribosomal RNA", at positions 521 to 896 of the family's 1533-position model. The record is from RNAcentral.
UAAUACGUAGGGGCCGAGCGUUGUCCGGAGUUACUGGGCGUAAAGCGCGCGCAGGCGGCCCUGCGCGCCCGGCGUGAAAGCCCCCGGCUCAACCGGGGAGGGUCGCCGGGGACGGCAGGGCUUGGGGGCGGCAGGGGUCGGUGGAAUGCCCGGUGUAGUGGUGAAAUGCGUAGAGAUCGGGCGGAACACCCGUGGCGAAGGCGGCCGACUGGGCCGGCCCCGACGCUGAGGCGCGAAGGCGUGGGGAGCGAACGGGAUUAGAUACCCCGGUAGUCCACGCAGUAAACGAUGCGGACUAGGCGUGGGGGGACUUGACCCCCUCCGUGCCGGAGCCAACGCGGUAAGUCCGCCGCCUGGGGAGUACGGCCGCAAGGCUA